RNAcentral lists this small RNA (521 nucleotides) under Pongo abelii (Sumatran orangutan). Its description in RNAcentral is "retained intron". The record is from RNAcentral. Lineage: Eukaryota; Metazoa; Chordata; Mammalia; Primates; Hominidae.
AGGAUAAGCAUUUUCUACCUUGGUGAUAUCUGCAAAAAAUCUGUCUAAAGUCCUCAUUUCAUUUUCAUAGUUGGACAGCAAGUAAGGACACCAUCCUGACAUUAGUUGAGGAUAGUGCUAUAACCUGAAAGGCUCACAUUGAUUUUCAUGUCUCUUUUUUCCAUUUGAUCCCUGGUUUGGCGCUGCUGUGUUUUCCAGGUGUGACGAUUACUUCUUUAUAGCCCAUCGUGGAGAGCGGCGGGGCAUUGGUGGUAUCUUUUUUGAUGAUCUUGACUCUCCAUCCAAGGAGGAGGUGUUUCGCUUUGUACAGAGCUGUGCCAGGGCUGUAGUUCCUUCUUAUAUUCCCCUUGUGAAAAAGCACUGUGAUGACUCAUUCACCCCCCAGGAGAAGCUGUGGCAGCAGCUCAGAAGAGGACGGUAUGUAGAAUUUAAUCUGCUGUAUGAUCGGGGCACAAAGUUUGGCCUCUUCACUCCAGGAUCCAGAAUUGAAAGUAUCUUGAUGUCUUUACCUCUAACUGCCC